Molecule: ribosomal RNA, 468 nt
Filed under: uncultured bacterium
Lineage: Bacteria
Description: partial 16S ribosomal RNA
Rfam family: Bacterial small subunit ribosomal RNA
Source: RNAcentral
GACGAACGCUGGCGGCGUGCUUAACACAUGCAAGUCGAACGGAAAGGCCCUGCUUUUGUGGGGUGCUCGAGUGGCGAACGGGUGAGUAACACGUGAGUAACCUGCCCUUGACUUUGGGAUAACUUCAGGAAACUGGGGCUAAUACCGGAUAGGAGCUCCUGCUGCAUGGUGGGGGUUGGAAAGUUUCGGCGGUUGGGGAUGGACGCGCGGCUUAUCAGCUUGUUGGUGGGGGAGUGGCUUACCAAGGCUUUGACGGGUAGCCGGCCUGAGAGGGUGACCGGCCACAUUGGGCCUGAGAUACGGCCCAGACUCCUACGGGAGGCAGCAGUGGGGAAUAUUGCACAAUGGGCGGAAGCCUGAUGCAGCAACGCCGCGUUCGGGAUGACGGCCUUCGGGUUGUAAACCGCUUUCGCCUGUGACGAAGCGUGAGUGACGGUAAUGGGUAAAGAAGCACCGGCUAACUACGUG